GACAUAUACAGGAAUGUUGUAGAGAUACAGCAGCCGCUUGCGGUCUGUAUACAGGUGCUGCAUGGCUGUCGUCAGCUCGUGCUGUGAAGUGUUGGGUAAGUCCCGCAACGAGCGCAACCCUAUCAUCUGUUGCCAGCAUUUAAGGUGGGGACUCAGAUGAGACUGCCGGUGACAAACCGGAGGAAGUGGGGACGACGUCAAGUCAUCAUGGCCCUUAUGUCCUGGGCUACACACGUGCUACAAUGGCCGGUACAGAGUGAAGCGAAACCGCGAGGUGAAGCAAAACGCAGAAAGCCGGUCUCAGUACGGAUUGGAGUCUGAAACUCGACUUCAUGAAGUUGGAAUCGCUAGUAAUCGCGCAUCAGCAUGGCGCGGUGAAUACGUUCCCGGGCCUU
Molecule: ribosomal RNA, 395 nt
Filed under: uncultured Spirochaeta sp.
Lineage: Bacteria; Pseudomonadati; Spirochaetota; Spirochaetia; Spirochaetales; Spirochaetaceae
Description: bacterial SSU rRNA
Rfam family: Bacterial small subunit ribosomal RNA
Source: RNAcentral